This 427-nucleotide ribosomal RNA is filed under the name uncultured bacterium. Its description in RNAcentral is "partial 16S ribosomal RNA". It matches the Rfam family "Bacterial small subunit ribosomal RNA", at positions 355 to 774 of the family's 1533-position model. The record is from RNAcentral.
UGGGGAAUAUUGCACAAUGGGCGCAAGCCUGAUGCAGCCAUGCCGCGUGUAUGAAGAAGGCCUUCGGGUUGUAAAGUACUUUCAGCGGGGAGGAAGGUGUUGUGGUUAAUAACCGCAGCAAUUGACGUUACCCGCAGAAGAAGCACCGGCUAACUCCGUGCCAGCAGCCGCGGUAAUACGGAGGGUGCAAGCGGUAAUCGGAAUUACUGGGCGUAAAGCGCACGCAGGCGGUCUGUCAAGUCGGAUGUGAAAUCCCCGGGCUCAACCUGGGAACUGCAUUCGAAACUGGCAGGCUAGAGUCUUGUAGAGGGGGGUAGAAUUCCAGGUGUAGCGGUGAAAUGCGUAGAGAUCUGGAGGAAUACCGGUGGCGAAGGCGGCCCCCUGGACAAAGACUGACGCUCAGGUGCGAAAGCGUGGGGAGCAAACA